RNAcentral lists this ribosomal RNA (251 nucleotides) under uncultured prokaryote. RNAcentral describes it as "partial 16S ribosomal RNA". It matches the Rfam family "Bacterial small subunit ribosomal RNA", at positions 524 to 774 of the family's 1533-position model. The record is from RNAcentral.
UACGGAGGGUGCAAGCGUUGUCCGGAUUUAUUGGGUUUAAAGGGUGCGCAGGUGGCCUUGUAAGUCUGACCUGAAAGUGGGCCGCUCAACGGCACAGGGUGGUUGGAUACUGCAGGGCUUGAAGGGGUCGGAGGUUGCCGGAACGGAUGGUGUAGCGGUGAAAUGCAUAGAGAUCAUCCAGAACGCCAAUUGCGUAGGCAGGUGGCUACGACCUACUUGACACUGAGGCACGAAAGCGUGGGGAGCAAACA